GUUUUUUUUGCUUUAAAUUAUUUACUUAGCCGCCCAUAAUAGAGUAUUCAUUUGGAAUGAGGUGCAACUCCUCAACUGUUCCCGCAACUGUAAUUAGCAUAACGCUUUAAGUCAGAUACAAAUAAACUAUUUUAACGAGCG
Molecule: non-coding RNA, 141 nt
Filed under: Pseudoalteromonas haloplanktis
Lineage: Bacteria; Pseudomonadati; Pseudomonadota; Gammaproteobacteria; Alteromonadales; Pseudoalteromonadaceae
Also listed under: 1 other name
Source: RNAcentral